UCGAGGGGCAGCACAGGGUAGCAAUACUUGGGUGGCGACCGGCGCACGGGUGAGUAACGCGUAUGCAACUUACCUAUCAGAGGGGGAUAGCCCGGCGAAAGUCGGAUUAAUACCCCAUAAAACAGGGGUCCCGCAUGGGAAUAUUUGUUAAAGAUUCAUCGCUGAUAGAUAGGCAUGCGUUCCAUUAGGCAGUUGGCGGGGUAACGGCCCACCAAACCGACGAUGGAUAGGGGUUCUGAGAGGAAGGUCCCCCACAUUGGUACUGAGACACGGACCAAACUCCUACGGGAGGCAGCAGUGAGGAAUAUUGGUCAAUGGCCGAGAGGCUGAACCAGCCAAGUCGCGUGAAGGAAGAAGGAUCUAUGGUUUGUAAACUUCUUUUAUAGGGGAAUAAAGUGGAGGACGUGUCCUUUUUUGUAUGUACCCUAUGAAUAAGCAUCGGCUAACUCCGUGCCAGCAGCCGCGGUAAUACGGAGGAUGCGAGCGUUAUCCGGAUUUAUUGGGUUUAAAGGGUGCGUAGGUGGUGAUUUAAGUCAGCGGUGAAAGUUUGUGGCUCAACCAUAAAAUUGCCGUUGAAACUGGGUUACUUGAGUGUGUUUGAGGUAGGCGGAAUGCGUGGUGUAGCGGUGAAAUGCAUAGAUAUCACGCAGAACUCCGAUUGCGAAGGCAGCUUACUA
Molecule: ribosomal RNA, 677 nt
Filed under: uncultured bacterium
Lineage: Bacteria
Description: bacterial SSU rRNA
Rfam family: Bacterial small subunit ribosomal RNA
Source: RNAcentral